AUGAACGCUGGCGGCGUGCUUAAUACAUGCAAGUCGAACGAAGAGCCCUUAACCGAAGAUGAUGACGUGCUUAGCACUGAAUCUGAUUCACCUUAGGGUUACUGAGUGGCGGACGGGUGAGUAACGCGUGGGUAACCUGCCUUAGACAGGGGGAUAACAUCAAGAAAUUGGUGCUAAUACCGCAUAUGCUCACAGUAUCGCAUGAUACAGUGAGGUAAAACUCCGGUGGUCUAAGAUGGACCCGCGUCUGAUUAGCUAGUUGGAGGGGUAACGGCCCACCAAGGCGACGAUCAGUAGCCGACUUGAGAGAGUGAUCGGCCACAUUGGGACUGGGACACGGCCCAAACUCCUACGGGAGGCAGCAGUAGGGAAUAUUGCACAAUGGGGAAACCCUGAUGCAGCGACGCCGCGUGAAGGAUGAAGUAUUUCGGUAUGUAAACUUCUAUCAGCAAGGAAGAAAAUGACGGUACUUGACUAAGAAGCCCCGGCUAAAAUACGUGCCAGCCGCAGC
RNAcentral lists this ribosomal RNA (511 nucleotides) under uncultured bacterium. Its description in RNAcentral is "bacterial SSU rRNA". It matches the Rfam family "Bacterial small subunit ribosomal RNA", at positions 29 to 518 of the family's 1533-position model. The record is from RNAcentral.